CAGCAAACCAGGAACGUGAGCAGUCUAAGUGCUCCUUACAGAAGAAACACGUGCCGAGGGGAGGCACACAGGGCCGGGCAGCCGGUAAUCCAGGUGCCCAGGGUGUGAGCACCUGCCUGCAAAAACCCCCAAAAACUCCAAAUUCCCAUCAGCCAAAACCUGUCUGUUUAGAGUCUUUCAGGUCCAAAACCAAAAAGUAGCCAUGACCAGAACAGGUGCCUUGACAUAACUGGCGAGUGUGAGGCCAGAGGGUAUGUGCUCUAAGGGCAGUCAAGCUGGAGACGGCUACUUGCCGUUCUUACCGCCACUAAAUAUGCUGAUGCUCUAGUUUAUCUACCAUCUCCUUGGAGACCGAGAGUACAAUUGUGACAAUCUGGUUUACCUGCAACAUCAAAUUCCGGGGCCUGCCGAGCUGAUGGCCUGCCUUCCAGGAGAUUCGCCGGGUCAAGGGCACCCCGAGGCCUCGCGCCUGAUCACCUGCUCACCAGCCUCCUGCUAACAGCUCCUGCCUGUGUGCUGGGCGCGUCUCCACCAUGGCAGGGCUGCUGACUGGCACACGGCUCAGAGCACAGCCCUGUGGAGACUUACAGCCUCUACCGGCCCAAGUGAAACUGGAAAACAACUACUCCCCUUCCCCGAGUUUAAUAUGGAGCAAAUUAAGAUGAAAAUUCAUGGAACCUAUCAGAAACCACAAGGUUGCUGACCAACAAGACUGCCGACCAACGAGACUGCCUCACAGGCAGGAAGAAGGGCACGGAGCCGGCCUCAGCUGUGAGCCUCCUCCAGUCCCAGCGUCCUGCGCCACCGCAUGGUGGGUAUCGGCCAGCGUCCUGCACCAUCUCGUGGUGGGUAUCGGCCAGCGUCCUGCGCCACUGUGUGGGGGUAUCGGCCAGCGUCCCACACCACUGCGUGGUGGUAAAAUGGGAACAACUAACUACAAAACCAGUUCAGCAGGCUAUGCGGAGGCUGCGGGACCCUCAGGACUGUGGGUGAUGCCUAAGUUCUGAAUUGAUUAUCAGCUCUAAUAUUAUUCAAUAUAUUUAAUAAAUAUAAAAUUAAAGUGUUUAGUAUCUGCCACAUGGAAGACAUCAA
Molecule: long non-coding RNA, 1092 nt
Organism: Gorilla gorilla gorilla (western lowland gorilla)
Lineage: Eukaryota; Metazoa; Chordata; Mammalia; Primates; Hominidae
Exons: 2
Source: RefSeq, a predicted model, not a curated record